RNAcentral lists this ribosomal RNA (253 nucleotides) under uncultured bacterium. RNAcentral's name for it is "partial 16S ribosomal RNA". It matches the Rfam family "Bacterial small subunit ribosomal RNA", at positions 524 to 776 of the family's 1533-position model. The record is from RNAcentral.
UACGUAGGUGGCAAGCGUUGUCCGGAUUUAUUGGGUUUAAAGGGUGCGUAGGCGGUUCUUUAAGUCAGUCGUGAAAUACGGCAGCUUAACUGUCGCGGUGCAAUUGAUACUGGAUGACUUGAGUACAGACGAGGUAGGCGGAAUUGACGGUGUAGCGGUGAAAUGCAUAGAUAUCGUCAAGAACACCGAUAGCGAAGGCAGCUUACUAGACUGUAACUGACGCUGAGGAACGAAAGCUAGGGGAGCAAACAGG